CCUAAGAGUUACCCGAAGCUCGGCAUCCGCGAUUGUCUAAGGGGCCUCCGAGACGUUCGGGCAGCGUCAGUCUUCAGCCGCCAAGCCGAGGAGAUCUGGGAAGGAGUCGGUGGGGAGCUUUGGGUUUGAGCUCCAGGAGCUCCGGAAGUGGCGAUGAGAGUCGGGCAGUCAGACUUCCAGUGAGGGCCCGCACAGGCGGGGCAUGGCUUAGGAGGAAUCCCAGGCUGCAGGCAUUCCUUGGCCCAGUGGCCAGGUUUUCAUCGCUUGAAGCAAAGUCCCAGAGGGGCUGUUGGAUGUUGCGUUUAGAUGCCUUGAAGUUCUUGCAGGUAGGCAGUGCAGCUGGGGUUUGUCUUAUGGCGGAGGCAAGCAUCUGUAGUUCUGAAAUGCGCUGUCGCCGGGCAGUCUCUUCCCUAUUAUUGAACACCUUGAAGGCGAGGUUGAUUAAUUCCUGUUGUGGGAUCUGAGAGCCAGACUCUAAUUUUUGAAGUUUCUUUCUACUGUCAGAAACUGACUGGGUAAUAAAAUGCAUGUUAAGAAUAAGGCGGCCUUCUAUCCCUUCAGGGUCUAGUGCUGUAUAUCGCCUGAGGGUGGCAGGUAGACAGGCCAUAAACUGAGCUGGAUUUUUAUCUUUGUUCUGAGUGGUUUUUUUUGUUUUUGUUUUUGUUUUUUAGUUUGUCAUAAUUGACGGCUUUAUAUGCAGCCUUCUGAAGCCCUUUAACUAGGCAAGAGAUCAUGUAGUCCCGCCUGGCUAUGCCUGGGUCCCAGGGCCUGGUAAAGAAGGCAUUCCAAGAGAAGGAACAACGUGAAAAGAAACAAACUCAUGAAGGCCUGAGGCAUGAGCAUGUGUUGAGCAUUUGGGAAAGAACAAAGUCAUGUUAUAAGACCCUAUAAUGCUUGGCAAAAGAUAGUGGCAAGAAAGCUGGGGAAAAAAAGCU
Molecule: long non-coding RNA, 935 nt
Filed under: Homo sapiens (human)
Lineage: Eukaryota; Metazoa; Chordata; Mammalia; Primates; Hominidae
Description: HSALNT0334933
Source: RNAcentral